UCUCACAAGAGACACAAUUGAUGGCACCGGUGUCACUGGAGUGGAAAGGGUUUUCAGGUGAUGUUGUGAGGAAAUACUUUCUGUUAUGUGGAAAUAUAAAGAAGCGUUGCUAACCAUUGUUGAAGUUUUUAUUCAUGAUCCCCUGUAUAAGUGGGUUAUCUCCUCAGAAGGCUUUGUAGCGGCAAAAGGAUACAGAUGACGAUCUGGAGACAAUCUUGGAAGACUCACAAGAUGAAUGUGAAGGGAACAAGGAUGCUACACAUGCACUGAUGCUUGUCAAACAAAAACUAGAUGGAUAUGAAGAAGGUGAAAUCCGAAAUGUACGUG
This is a long non-coding RNA of Quercus robur (English oak), 327 nucleotides long. RefSeq lists it as uncharacterized. The transcript has 3 exons. NCBI's taxonomy places the organism in Eukaryota, Viridiplantae, Streptophyta, Magnoliopsida, Fagales, Fagaceae. The record is from RefSeq and is a predicted model, not a curated record.